Molecule: long non-coding RNA, 533 nt
Filed under: Polistes fuscatus (common paper wasp)
Lineage: Eukaryota; Metazoa; Arthropoda; Insecta; Hymenoptera; Vespidae
Description: uncharacterized LOC122515196
Source: RNAcentral
GUUCUACCGGCUGGGCGCAUUCGUUAACAGACCUUCGUUCAGUUAGGAUACUGAAUACUUCAGGAAACCUUCCCAAACCCCCACCUCCCCCAUCGAGGGACGAGUCGGAACCUUCACCGGCUAUCAACCCUUUCGCUUUUUAUUUUGUUCGUGGUCGUCCAAGGCCUACGGGACAACACCAAUCGUUAAAAUGUAGACGUGCCGGGCAUCGCUGCGGAGCGCGACAGUAAACCUGAACCCUACGGGGUCGGUGCUUGAACAAUCCGUACGCAACGAAAACUGGUCCGAUUAGGCUAUGAAAUUCUGUCAAAUUUCAUACAAGUUCAUGAAGAAUAAUACCUCUGAAUAAUAGCUGUGUCGUAAAAUUAGAGAUCCGCGUGGGCGGCAAAGACAACUCAUCAGUAAGAGUAACCUCAAUAGCCUAGCAGAAAGUGCAGAAAGAAAAGAGAAGCCCACGGCACACGGUUGGAACGCGGGGGUAUUGGAUUAAAUACAAAUUUUAUACAAAAAUAUGCAGAAAGUAAGUUAAGAAA